Molecule: ribosomal RNA, 429 nt
Filed under: Pseudomonadota bacterium
Lineage: Bacteria; Pseudomonadati; Pseudomonadota
Description: Proteobacteria bacterium partial 16S ribosomal RNA
Rfam family: Bacterial small subunit ribosomal RNA
Source: RNAcentral
UGGGGAAUAUUGGACAAUGGGCGAAAGCCUGAUCCAGCCAUGCCGCGUGUGUGAAGAAGGUCUUCGGAUUGUAAAGCACUUUAAGUUGGGAGGAAGGGCAGUAAGCGAAUACCUUGCUGUUUUGACGUUACCGACAGAAGAAGCACCGGCUAACUCUGUGCCAGCAGCCGCGGUAAUACAGAGGGUGCAAGCGUUAAUCGGAAUUACUGGGCGUAAAGCGCGCGUAGGUGGUUCGUUAAGUUAAAUGUGAGAGCCCCGGGCUCGACCUGGGAACUGCAUCCAUUACUGGCGAGCUAGAGUAGGGCAGAGGGUGGUGGAAUUUCCUGUGUGGCUGUGAAAUGCAUAGAUAUAGGAAGGAACACCAGUGGCGAAGGCGACCACCUGGGCUCAUACUGACACUGAGGUGCGAAAGCGUGGGGAGCAAGCAGG